AGCAACAACUUCAGCACAGGCUAACUAACUUAAGGUGGGCUGACCUUUAAGGUGGUCCAGCUAUUCUCAUUUUAGUGACAAGCCGCUCCUUCAAGUUUUGGAGUUUCAGUGAUCUCUCCUUCGCUGCAACCGACAACCACUAAGCUUUGUGCAAAUAAUUGCCCGAUGACAUCAC
Long non-coding RNA from Etheostoma spectabile (orangethroat darter), 175 nucleotides. RefSeq lists it as uncharacterized. The record is from RefSeq and is a predicted model, not a curated record. The transcript has 3 exons. Lineage: Eukaryota; Metazoa; Chordata; Actinopteri; Perciformes; Percidae.